UUGAAUUCGGUUGAGAGGUCGUAACCUGACCUCGGGAGGCGUGCAGAAAGAAAAGACUACUUUCUCAGCUCGGUUCUUAAUUGAAAGCGGAGUUGUCAGGCGCAGCGCCGUGGGUGUGACCGCCGCCGCCCAGUUUCUCCCGCAGAAGCAACACAGAGCUGGUCCACUCUCCCGGGUCCCCAUUAGCAGUCACUCUAAUGACCUGCAGAGCUGGAAGCAUUUAUGGAAUAUCACAUGGUUUUCGUUUACACAGGAAAUCAGCUGCAGUGGAGCCUGAACAGUCCCUGUGGUCCCAAUGAAGGCUGCCGUUCAAGAGCCAGAGUGCCCAGAAGGAUUCAGGCUGCAGAGGAGCCCCCACCAUAGGUUGAAAUGGCCCCGCCCUCCUUUCCUAUUGUCCCUGAAUGAGCUGAAAGCACAGGGGACAAGAGGCUCUCCUUUCCUGUCAUCUACUAUUCCACAAUAACAGACCAGUUCCUUUGAUUUAAGGCUGAGCCCCAAUUAAAUGGAACAUGCCCUUGAAGAGAUAGAAUUUAGGAACCUAUUUUAGGGUGAGGCAGUUUAUUACCUUUUCCCAAGGGUAAAAGCAAAGAGGCAGGGUGCCCACCCUGAGGGGCAGGAGCUGGCACUGUGGCCAUCCUUCAAGGGCUGAAAGGCAGCCGUGUGCUGGGACUAGGAGGUUGUGAGGUGGUAGCUCUGGGAGGCAGGAUGGGACAGAGUCCUUUGCACAUUUCCGGGGUGGGCAGGGAGCCCUCAAAGAACAUCGAGUCCCCAUUGGGCCCCCAGAGCCCAGGUGUCCCUAGCAGCUGAGACCCAUUUAAUUGAGACCCUCUGACAGCCUCACCACGGCCAUCGUCUUCCGCUCCUCUCGCCCAGCCCAUAAAACCCACAGCCAUCUGUGUGAACAUGAGCCCCACGUUUUUUAUGGGCUGUCUACUGGCGGCUGCAGGACAAGUGGGGGGACAAAGGCUGACUGCUGCAGCCCCUUCAGUCUCCCAAUAUUAAACUGUGUAACGUGACUCGUUCUCUGAAACCAAAUAUUUGCGAGGACACCCAGAAGCCACCUGGCUACCAAAUCUCUUGAUCAGGCGGGUCAUUUGUGCUGUAAAAAUCCCACAUGGGGGUUUUCUCAGCUUCCGAGGGGUCAGCAGGCAAAGCUGCCUUCCAUUAUACAGGGAAGCCUGCCCUCUCGUUGACACAGGCAGGCCCGGGUUGGGGUGUGCAGAUUCAACCUCACUUGGGCUUGGGAGCUGAAUGAAAGAAACCCUGAUCCUCUGCACAGCAGGCUGCCCUGGUCUCUGUCUGAGGCUCUGUUUUCCUCCCAGGAAGCUGCCUGUUCCUCAUGUUGCUUAUUACCUAAUUGAGGAACUAUUCGAGUCAGCGUGGUGCUGCUGUGAGGUUCUUCAGCUCCCCGUGAGCUCUGUGCUGAGGAGCUGGUGGAGAGCAGUAUGUUCUAUGCUGAACGUUUUCUCUCUCUCAACUAGCUCUCCUCUUUUUUCUCCCGUCUCUCUGGGAAUAUGGAGUUCAUUGGUCUCUGAAGGGGCAGGGGAUGGUCACAAACAUAAUUACUAUAAAUUCCAACCCCUGCCUGGCCAUGUUGGUUUUAGGGUCCCCAGUGAAUCACUAGGGUACACGCUCUCUCUGCUCAGGACACUGCCUGGUCCUCUUGGCUUAACCAUCUGGAAAAUGGGGGAUUUGCUGAGAGAAGAGGAAGUUUUGAGAGGGGAAAUCAGAUGCUCUAGGGCCUCUUUCUCUCCCAACCCUGCAGGCUUCUGAGAAGCCCCAUGUUCAUGUCCAAGCCUCAUUCAGACUGCCCUGUGUCUCCUAGAGAAAGCCGUCCCUAAAAAAGUGAGCAGCCCGCAGGCACGCCUGCACCUACAGCUUUGCCGUCCCAGACGUAAUUUUAAAUAGACCAACAUUUCAAUGUGUAUUUAUU
This is a long non-coding RNA of Hipposideros armiger (great roundleaf bat), 1933 nucleotides long. RefSeq lists it as uncharacterized. The record is from RefSeq and is a predicted model, not a curated record. The transcript is spliced from 3 exons. Lineage: Eukaryota; Metazoa; Chordata; Mammalia; Chiroptera; Hipposideridae.